UGAGGAAUAUUGGUCAAUGGACGCAAGUCUGAUCCAGCCAUGCCGCGUGCAGGAAGACGCNUCUCUGGUUUGUAAACUGCUUUUNUACGGGAAGAAACCACUNUUCGUGAAGAGUCUUGACGGUACCGUAAGAAUAAGCAUCGGCUAACUCCGUG
This 155-nucleotide ribosomal RNA is filed under the name uncultured bacterium. RNAcentral describes it as "partial 16S rRNA". It matches the Rfam family "Bacterial small subunit ribosomal RNA", at positions 355 to 507 of the family's 1533-position model. The record is from RNAcentral.